RNAcentral lists this ribosomal RNA (433 nucleotides) under uncultured bacterium. RNAcentral describes it as "partial 16S ribosomal RNA". It matches the Rfam family "Bacterial small subunit ribosomal RNA", at positions 29 to 507 of the family's 1533-position model. The record is from RNAcentral.
AACGAACGCUGGCGGCAUGCCUAACACAUGCGAGUCGAACGAGACCUUCGGGUCUAGUGGCGCACGGGUGCGUAACGCGUGGGAAUCUGCCCUUGGGUUCGGAAUAACAGUGAGAAAUUACUGCUAAUACCGGAUGAUGUCUUCGGACCAAAGAUUUAUCGCCCAGGGAUGAGCCCGCGUAGGAUUAGCUAGUUGGUGGGGUAAUGGCCUACCAAGGCGAUGAUCCUUAGCUGGUCUGAGAGGAUGAUCAGCCACACUGGGACUGAGACACGGCCCAGACUCCUACGGGAGGCAGCAGUGGGGAAUAUUGGACAAUGGGCGCAAGCCUGAUCCAGCAAUGCCGCGUGAGUGAUGAAGGCCUUAGGGUUGUAAAGCUCUUUUACCCGGGAUGAUAAUGACAGUACCGGGAGAAUAAGCUCCGGCUAACUCCGUG